RNAcentral lists this long non-coding RNA (1527 nucleotides) under Ursus maritimus (polar bear). Its description in RNAcentral is "lncRNA (ENSUMAG00000020685.1)". The record is from RNAcentral. Lineage: Eukaryota; Metazoa; Chordata; Mammalia; Carnivora; Ursidae.
GACCAGGCGGAAUAAUCUCUCCCGGGGGGGAGGGGGGGUCUGGUGGGGGGAGCCGGCGACCCCUGGACGUGGCCGGGACUACAUUUCCCAAGAUGCUCUGCGCCUGGGUUUCGUUCGGCGCUGAGUAGCGACCCGGGAUUGAGCUCUUCGUUGACAAUUGGAAGUGCUUUUAUCACUUUGGACCUAAUGGAUAAAGAAAGGAGCCAUAUGCCUCCAGAAGACUGCUCCCUUGGUCAUAAGAGAGAACAUCUGAAGGACCGUCUAAGGCUUCACGGGGGAGGACCUGAUUGCCAGAGUCGAUGAGGUUUGCCCUCCAGGUUUCGGGGAAUGGAUUCUACCAUGAUGAAGAGAUCCUGAAAUGUGUGGCAGCUACUGUCACCAGAGCCUGUCAUCCUCCUUCAUUCCAUGGCUCACUUCUAACCAGCAAUAUCCAGGAGGAAAACUUGCCUAUUCCCUUCUCCAGCAGGAACAUUCUCUCUCUCUCUUUCUCGCUCUCUCUCUCUCAUACACACACACACACACACACACACACACACACACACACACACAUACAUACAUAUAUACGGUGGGGUGUAGGCAUUUGGAAGACUAUGGUUGACCUGGUAUAUAAGAGAUCAGAGAAAAGAAAUAGGACAGGAAUGAGAAGGAGGACAAGGCAGGAAAGAAAAGGGAAAAGUGAGUAGGUCAAGAGAAAUGUGUCAAGGUAUUUGGAGGUUGUAAACUUCAAGCAAAGACCAACUAAUAAUGACAAAAGGGUAAGGUCUUCACACUGUCCUAUUUUUAAAAAAUGUUUAAAAUAUACUUACUAUAUGCUAGGAACUGCCUUUGUGCUCUACACCCUGUAUCAUUCUAUUUAAUUUGAAUCUUACAGAUGAUAAAAAUUGGGGAAUCAGAAGGAUGAACACAGUAUGACUGACUCCAGUCUAAUCCCUCCUUAUUCACUAAGCUAAACCCUCUUAGUCAGAGCUCACUGACUAUUAGGAUUUUAAUGCCAUGUGUUGAAUGCCUACGACAUCCCAAGCACCUCUCUUCCACCUUUUAUUUUCUUUUAACUUUAUCAUGGUAAGAACACUCAACAUGAGAUCUGCCCUUCCAACAGUAUUGUAAGUAUAGAGCAUAUUAUUACUGACUGUAGGUACAAUGUUGUACUGCACGUAUCUAGAACUCACUCAUUCUGCUUAACUAAAACUUUAUGCCCUCUGAUGAGUAACUCCCUAUUUCCCUCCCCCUUCCAGCCCUUGGUAAUCACCAGUCCAUACUUUCAUUCUAUGAAUUUGACUAUUUUAGUAUUUCACAUCAAUGGAAUGAUUCAACUUAUCUUUUUGCAACUAGCUUAUUUCACUUAGCAUAAUGUCUUUAAGGUUCAUCCAUGUUGUCACAUACAGCAGAAUUUCAUUUUUAAAGGAUGAAUGAUAUUCCAUUGUGUGUAAAUACCACAUUUUCCUUAUCCAUUCAUCUGUCAAGGGACAUUUGGGUUGUUUCCCUAUCUUGGUUUUUGUGAACAAUGCUGCAAUAAACACAGUUGUG